RNAcentral lists this ribosomal RNA (497 nucleotides) under uncultured bacterium. RNAcentral's name for it is "partial 16S ribosomal RNA". It matches the Rfam family "Bacterial small subunit ribosomal RNA", at positions 28 to 507 of the family's 1533-position model. The record is from RNAcentral.
GAUGAACGCUGGCGGCGUGCCUAAUACAUGCAAGUCGAGCGAACAGACGAGGAUCUUUCUCCUCUGACGUUAUCGGCGGACGUGUGAGUAACACGUGUAUAACCUACCUUUAAGACUGGGAUAACUUCGGGAAACCGGAUCUAAUACCGGAUAAUAUAUUGAACCUCAUUGUUCAUUAGUUAUAUUCGUUUUUUCUGUCACUUAUAGAUUGUUCCUCGCCGCAUUAGCUAGUUGGUAAGGUAACGGCUUACCAAGGCGACGAUGCGUAGCCGAACUGAGAGGGUGAUCGGGCACACUGGAAAUGAGACACGGUACAGACGCCUAAGGGAGGCAGCAGAAGGGAAUAUGACGCAAUGGGCGAAAGCAUGAAGGAGCAAAGCCGCGUGAGUGAAGAAGGACUUAGGAUCGUAAAAAACUGUUAGUAGGGAAGAAAAAAAGUGUAAGAAAAUAUGGACGUAGUGACGGUAACAAAAAAGAAAGCAACGGCUAACUACGUG